Schistosoma rodhaini is the source of this 45-nucleotide non-coding RNA. NCBI's taxonomy places the organism in Eukaryota, Metazoa, Platyhelminthes, Trematoda, Strigeidida, Schistosomatidae. The record is from Rfam.
AUCCAGCUGACGAGUCCCAAAUAGGACGAAACGCGCGUCCUGGAC